UCUGUUUCUGUCCUUUUUGCAGGUAAGAUGAAGUCAACGAGAGGAGUCUUUGCCAUUUCGGUGUAAGGUGGUCAGUCCUCGGGUGGUGGGCGCGCUGCGGAGGCACGUGGCCAGUAAAGUGAACGGCGCAUUAGGGUUAGGGUUUCAAAUUUUUUACUGAAACAAGUUAAGGUUUUGGGCCUAUUGGGCCCUGGGUCAUGGGUUUGUAAUUUGGGUUGUA
RNAcentral lists this long non-coding RNA (220 nucleotides) under Gossypium raimondii (Peruvian cotton). Its description in RNAcentral is "long non-coding RNA (GRAI_LNC000986)". The record is from RNAcentral. Lineage: Eukaryota; Viridiplantae; Streptophyta; Magnoliopsida; Malvales; Malvaceae.